Non-coding RNA from Acanthosepion pharaonis, 115 nucleotides. NCBI's taxonomy places the organism in Eukaryota, Metazoa, Mollusca, Cephalopoda, Sepiida, Sepiidae. The record is from the annotation of a GenBank genome assembly.
UUAUGGCCAUAUCAUUUUCAAAACACUGUUUUUCUCAUCUGAACAUUGGUUAAGCAACAUUGAAACUGGUCAGUACUCAGAUGGGUGACCACUGGGGAAUACCAGGUGCUGUAAG